This 1521-nucleotide long non-coding RNA is filed under the name Gallus gallus (chicken). Its description in RNAcentral is "long non-coding RNA NONGGAT002784". The record is from RNAcentral. Lineage: Eukaryota; Metazoa; Chordata; Aves; Galliformes; Phasianidae.
GGAGUGCUCUCAUGUAAAUCACAGGGUGGCAGAUAGUAAGAAAUGUCUCCUGCCCUCACAGCUAUGAUGGAAAUGGGUUGUUUGUUGCUCAAAAGUCCUUCAGAAGCAACAGGGUCCGGUUCUUGGCAAGUGGAAAUUGGGCUGAAUAGAAAUUCAUUGUGGGUGUAGUGUGCAGACACAGGUAUAAAUAACUUGCAGCCGUCCUCUGUAUGUGCUCCAACAGGCCCCUGUCUCUCCUAUACUGAGGACUCCCCAUCUGGACGCCGUGCUCCAGUUGAGGUCUCAUCAGCACAAAGUAAAGGACAGGAUCACCUCCCUAACCUGCUGGCCCUGCUGCUUUGGAUGCAGCUCAGGAUAUGGUUGGCCUUCUAGGCUGGAAGGGCACAUUGCUGGCUCACGUCCAGCUUGCCAUCCACCAGUACCCUCAAGUCCUUCUUGGCAAGGCUGUGCUCUAUCCUUCUGACAGCUUGUAUUGACAGUGGGGGUUGCCAUGAACCAAGUGCAUACCUUGCACUUGACAUUGUUGAACCUCAUGAGGUUCACCUGGGUCCACCUCUUGAGCCUUCAUAGGUUUUUCUGAAUGGCGUCCCGUCCCUCAGGCAUGUUGACUGCACCACACAGCUCAGUGCCAUCUGAAAAGUUGCUGAGGGUGCACUUGAUCCCACAAUCAAUGUCACACUAACACAAAAUGGUGUAGCACAGGUGGGAAGUCAUGAGGGAGAGAUGCAGAGAGCCUUCCUGAUGUGAGCAGCUCAGCUUCUGAACAAAAUCCCAUGCCCUUCCUUGAAUCCACUGGGAUUUGAACCUCUGCAUUCUUGGGUUGGUCCACUGCCUCCUGUUUCCCUAGCUAUUCUCUUAGCUAGAUUUGAGUACUUUAAGAAUCUGCCAUCCCACAGACAUGGCAGAAUGUCAGCAUCACGUGCUAAGUUUCCUUCCACUGCUGCCAGGCUUGAAAGACAAAUACUGUGAGAGAAGAAAUAGACAGGAUACAAACACCUACAUCAGGACUUUUUCUGAAACAGGCUGGGUGGCAAAAUUGGAAGAAUGCUAGGAAUGUCCAUUCUGGUUCACUGUCAAACCUGAUCCUUCAGAACACCCACAGCAUAACUAGCCCCAGUACGAAUGGCUCAGGCCACAAUUGGAUGUAACUAUGCUCUCUGAUUCCUUCCAAAGAGGUUCAGCCUUUCCUCUCCUCGUGAGAAUGGUACUGAAGGACCCCAAAGAGCAGCAUCACUCCAGGCAAGGGGAGGGUAAUCACAGUGCAGGACCCACAUACAUCAAGCCCAGAUCCCCCUUGCCUGGUACCUCCUGGAGGUUUUUUUUUCCUCAGCAAAAAAAGGAUCCACAGCGUGAUGAUGCCAUACCGCAAUUCAUUGCAUGGAUACAGAUGAUGUUAUGGUCUGCAGGAAGUACAUCCUUAGUGCUGUACCUGGAAACCACAUGCCAAUUUUUGCAGAACGGCAUGGAGCAGAGUAGGAGACCUAAUAAGAAAGCCAGAGAAGAAAGGUAUCAUGGAGGAAU